Molecule: long non-coding RNA, 202 nt
Filed under: Chrysolophus pictus (golden pheasant)
Lineage: Eukaryota; Metazoa; Chordata; Aves; Galliformes; Phasianidae
Description: lncRNA (ENSCPIG00010007744.1)
Source: RNAcentral
UGGAAUCAAGGCUGAGGCGCAGACUAGGCCUCCAUUAAGAGAACGCAGAUGGUAAAUACAUUUCCCCAUUUCAUGAUAUUCCACUCUUUGCUGGAUCCAAAGAGGAUAAAGAGAUUCCUGCAAAGAGGUCAAAGACUACAGGAAAUGAGGUACAGCUAGGUUCUUCUUUUCCCUCCUCCUCCUUUUCUUUUCCCUCCUUUGC